Molecule: ribosomal RNA, 272 nt
Filed under: uncultured Chlamydiales bacterium
Lineage: Bacteria; Pseudomonadati; Chlamydiota; Chlamydiia; Chlamydiales
Description: partial 16S ribosomal RNA
Rfam family: Bacterial small subunit ribosomal RNA
Source: RNAcentral
GUGGAUGAGGCAUGCAAGUCGAACGGAAUCAGGGGUUAAACCUUGAUUCAGUGGCGGAAGGGUUAGUAAUAAAUGGAUAAUCUGCCUUUAACUUUGGAAUAACGGUUGGAAACGAUCGCUAAUACCAAAUGUGGAGACGAUAGGCAUCUAUCGUUCUUUAAAGUGGGGGACUGUUAUAGGCCUUGCGGUUAGAGAAGAGUCCAUUCGAUAUCAGCUAGUUGGUGAGGUAAAAGCUCACCAAGGCUAAGACGUCUAGGCGGAUUGAGAGAUUG